This 562-nucleotide long non-coding RNA is filed under the name Penaeus japonicus. Its description in RNAcentral is "uncharacterized LOC122263902, transcript variant X2". Lineage: Eukaryota; Metazoa; Arthropoda; Malacostraca; Decapoda; Penaeidae. The record is from RNAcentral.
AGGAGCUCACGCAUAUAUAGGCCUCAAGUUGGAGCUCAAAGUCAGUCUCAGUAUUGCUGACACUUCUAGUGCAUCGUCAAGACAAUGAUGAACCGCGGCGUUCUCCUUCUCCUGCUGGUGACACUGGCCCUCUCAGCCGUGGCACUGGCUAGCCCUCUACCCGACGCCAGUGCCAAGGCUCACUGGCCAUUUUAUGGAGGCUAUGGACACGGAUAUGGGCACGGAUAUGGGCAUGGAUACGGCCACGGCUACCAUCACCACCAUCAUUGGUAGGAGGUAAGGAUGGAAAAGGAUCAUCCGACGCCCUCGUCUCUACACCAGAUCCGUUGUUGAUGGCGGGACGUCGCCUUCAGAAACUCCUCCUCCCUUUCCUUCGCAACUGGACGGACAUCUCGACCAAGGGAACCGGACGCCUAGUGUUAACUUUCUGAGAAUUCUUACUCUCUUGUCUUCAGUCUGGACAGAAAAAAACAUGUCAAUUACGUGUUAAGUCAUAAAUUUCGUGUGUAAUGUGUUAUUUCUUUGCUUCCUAAAUCUGGCUGAUAAAGGUUAAGAAAUAUUA